GCUCCGGUGGCCUAGUGGUUAAAGCAUCUGCCUCGGAUGCAGAAAAUCGCAGGUUCGAACCUCGGCCAAGUU
Molecule: non-coding RNA, 72 nt
Organism: Potamilus streckersoni
Lineage: Eukaryota; Metazoa; Mollusca; Bivalvia; Unionida; Unionidae
Source: the annotation of a GenBank genome assembly